RNAcentral lists this ribosomal RNA (1538 nucleotides) under Salmonella enterica subsp. enterica. RNAcentral's name for it is "bacterial SSU rRNA". It matches the Rfam family "Bacterial small subunit ribosomal RNA". The record is from RNAcentral. Lineage: Bacteria; Pseudomonadati; Pseudomonadota; Gammaproteobacteria; Enterobacterales; Enterobacteriaceae.
UUGAAGAGUUUGAUCAUGGCUCAGAUUGAACGCUGGCGGCAGGCCUAACACAUGCAAGUCGAACGGUAACAGGAAGCAGCUUGCUGCUUUGCUGACGAGUGGCGGACGGGUGAGUAAUGUCUGGGAAACUGCCUGAUGGAGGGGGAUAACUACUGGAAACGGUGGCUAAUACCGCAUAACGUCGCAAGACCAAAGAGGGGGACCUUCGGGCCUCUUGCCAUCAGAUGUGCCCAGAUGGGAUUAGCUUGUUGGUGAGGUAACGGCUCACCAAGGCGACGAUCCCUAGCUGGUCUGAGAGGAUGACCAGCCACACUGGAACUGAGACACGGUCCAGACUCCUACGGGAGGCAGCAGUGGGGAAUAUUGCACAAUGGGCGCAAGCCUGAUGCAGCCAUGCCGCGUGUAUGAAGAAGGCCUUCGGGUUGUAAAGUACUUUCAGCGGGGAGGAAGGUGUUGCGGUUAAUAACCGCAGCAAUUGACGUUACCCGCAGAAGAAGCACCGGCUAACUCCGUGCCAGCAGCCGCGGUAAUACGGAGGGUGCAAGCGUUAAUCGGAAUUACUGGGCGUAAAGCGCACGCAGGCGGUCUGUCAAGUCGGAUGUGAAAUCCCCGGGCUCAACCUGGGAACUGCAUUCGAAACUGGCAGGCUUGAGUCUUGUAGAGGGGGGUAGAAUUCCAGGUGUAGCGGUGAAAUGCGUAGAGAUCUGGAGGAAUACCGGUGGCGAAGGCGGCCCCCUGGACAAAGACUGACGCUCAGGUGCGAAAGCGUGGGGAGCAAACAGGAUUAGAUACCCUGGUAGUCCACGCCGUAAACGAUGUCUACUUGGAGGUUGUGCCCUUGAGGCGUGGCUUCCGGAGCUAACGCGUUAAGUAGACCGCCUGGGGAGUACGGCCGCAAGGUUAAAACUCAAAUGAAUUGACGGGGGCCCGCACAAGCGGUGGAGCAUGUGGUUUAAUUCGAUGCAACGCGAAGAACCUUACCUGGUCUUGACAUCCACAGAAGAAUCCAGAGAUGGAUUUGUGCCUUCGGGAACUGUGAGACAGGUGCUGCAUGGCUGUCGUCAGCUCGUGUUGUGAAAUGUUGGGUUAAGUCCCGCGACGAGCGCAACCCUUAUCCUUUGUUGCCAGCGAUUAGGUCGGGAACUCAAAGGAGACUGCCAGUGAUAAACUGGAGGAAGGUGGGGAUGACGUCAAGUCAUCAUGGCCCUUACGACCAGGGCUACACACGUGCUACAAUGGCGCAUACAAAGAGAAGCGACCUCGCGAGAGCAAGCGGACCUCAUAAAGUGCGUCGUAGUCCGGAUUGGAGUCUGCAACUCGACUCCAUGAAGUCGGAAUCGCUAGUAAUCGUGGAUCAGAAUGCCACGGUGAAUACGUUCCCGGGCCUUGUACACACCGCCCGUCACACCAUGGGAGUGGGUUGCAAAAGAAGUAGGUAGCUUAACCUUCGGGAGGGCGCUUACCACUUUGUGAUUCAUGACUGGGGUGAAGUCGUAACAAGGUAACCGUAGGGGAACCUGCGGUUGGAUCACCUCCUU